GAUGAACGCUGGCGGCGUGCCUAAUACAUGCCAGUCGAGCGAACGGACGAGAAGCUUGCUUCUCUGAUGUUAGCGGCGGACGGGUGAGUAACACGUGGAUAACCUACCUAUAAGACUGGGAUAACUUCGGGAAACCGGAGCUAAUACCGGAUGAUAUUUUGAACAGCAUGGUUCAAGAGUGAAAGACGGUUUUGCUGUCACUUAUAGAUGGAUCCGCGCUGCAUUAGCUAGUUGGUAAGGUAACGGCUUACCAAGGCAACGAUGCAUAGCCGACCUGAGUGGGUGAUCGGCCACACUGGAACGGAGACACGGUCCAGACUCCUACGGGAGGCAGCAGUAGGGAAUCGUCCGCAAUGGGCGAAAGCCUGACGGAGCAACGCCGCGUGAGUGCUGAAGGUCUUCGGAUCGUAAAACUCUGUUAUUAGGGAAGAACAUAUGUGUAAGUAACUGUGCACAUCUUGACGGUACCUAAUCAGAAAGCCACGGCUAACUACGUG
RNAcentral lists this ribosomal RNA (497 nucleotides) under uncultured bacterium. Its description in RNAcentral is "partial 16S ribosomal RNA". It matches the Rfam family "Bacterial small subunit ribosomal RNA", at positions 28 to 507 of the family's 1533-position model. The record is from RNAcentral.